CCUACGGGUGGCAGCAGUGGGGAAUAUUGGACAAUGGGCGAAAGCCUGAUCCAGCCAUGCCGCGUGUGUGAAGAAGGCCUUCGGGUUGUAAAGCACUUUCAGUGGGGAAGAAAGCCUUGGGGCUAAUACCCUCGAGGAAGGACAUCACCCACAGAAGAAGCACCGGCUAACUCCGUGCCAGCAGCCGCGGUAAUACGGAGGGUGCGAGCGUUAAUCGGAAUUACUGGGCGUAAAGCGCGCGUAGGCGGUCUGAUAAGCCGGUUGUGAAAGCCCCGGGCUCAACCUGGGAACGGCAUCCGGAACUGUCCGGCUAGAGUGCAGGAGAGGAAGGUAGAAUUCCCGGUGUCGCGGUGAAAUGCGUAGAGAUCGGGAGGAAUACCAGUGGCGAAGGCGGCCUUCUGGACUGACACUGACGCUGAGGUGCGAAAGCGUGGGUAGCAAACAGGAUUAGAUACUCUAGUAGUC
Molecule: ribosomal RNA, 465 nt
Filed under: Vreelandella stevensii
Lineage: Bacteria; Pseudomonadati; Pseudomonadota; Gammaproteobacteria; Oceanospirillales; Halomonadaceae
Description: partial 16S ribosomal RNA
Rfam family: Bacterial small subunit ribosomal RNA
Source: RNAcentral